Molecule: non-coding RNA, 250 nt
Organism: Pelobates cultripes (western spadefoot toad)
Lineage: Eukaryota; Metazoa; Chordata; Amphibia; Anura; Pelobatidae
Source: the annotation of a GenBank genome assembly
CUUUUUUAAGGAACUCUUCAAGCUCUUCAGCCCGAUGUAGAAGUUAUGGUUCCAAGAAUACACUGGCACUGACCCAGAGUAAUAUGUCAAACUGUUUUAGCGUUUGGGAAGGUCAAUGUCAAUUUGUUCAGUUCAGCGACAAAUUGAACAUCAGCAUCUGGCUUCUCCUGUCUGGGCCCAAAUAAGUGUCAAACCAUACUGAACAAGCUUGAUUGAUUACGCUUGGACAGUGCCCCGGCACUACUGGAAC